This 112-nucleotide long non-coding RNA is filed under the name Saimiri boliviensis boliviensis (Bolivian squirrel monkey). RNAcentral describes it as "FAM13A antisense RNA 1 conserved region 1 (ENSSBOG00000006373.1)". It matches the Rfam family "FAM13A antisense RNA 1 conserved region 1". The record is from RNAcentral. Lineage: Eukaryota; Metazoa; Chordata; Mammalia; Primates; Cebidae.
AGACUUGCAAGAAUCACAGUAACAGAGUGGAGCACCUUCUUGAUGUGUUAGGAACUUGAGUCAUAAUUUGUUGUUGACUCAGAACAAGUGUUUGGGGUUAUCUGCCUCAGAG